RNAcentral lists this small RNA (96 nucleotides) under Thalassotalea sp. ND16A. The record is from RNAcentral. Lineage: Bacteria; Pseudomonadati; Pseudomonadota; Gammaproteobacteria; Alteromonadales; Colwelliaceae.
AAUUGGCAGAAAUUUAUUCCCUUGAAUUUAUUAGCGCAGGCUCAACCUAUUGAGCCAUUCCCCUGAGCCUGAAGCGAUUGCUUCAGGCCUUUUUUU